CCUACGGGAGGCAGCAGUGGGGGAUAUUGGACAAUGGGGGGAACCCUGAUCCAGCGACGCCGCGUGAGUGAAGAAGUAUUUCGGUAUGUAAAGCUCUGUCAGCAGGGAAGAAAGAAAUGACGGUACCUGACCAAGAAGCCCCGGCUAACUACGUGCCAGCAGCCGCGGUAAUACGUAGGGGGCAAGCGUUAUCCGGAAUUACUGGGUGUAAAGGGAGCGUAGACGGUUAAGUAAGUCUGGAGUGAAAGGCCGGGGCCCAACCCCGGGACUGCUCUGGAAACUAUUGAACUUGAGUGCAGGAGAGGUAAGCGGAAUUCCUAGUGUAGCGGUGAAAUGCGUAGAUAUUAGGAGGAACACCAGUGGCGAAGGCAGCGUACCGGCACCAGACUGACGCUGAGGCACGAAAGCGUGGGGAUCGAACAGGAUUAGAUACCCUUGUAGUC
This 443-nucleotide ribosomal RNA is filed under the name uncultured bacterium. RNAcentral describes it as "partial 16S ribosomal RNA". It matches the Rfam family "Bacterial small subunit ribosomal RNA", at positions 338 to 795 of the family's 1533-position model. The record is from RNAcentral.